UACGUAGGGUGCAAGCGUUGUCCGGAAUUAUUGGGCGUAAAGAGCUCGUAGGCGGUUUGUUGCGUCGGCUGUGAAAACCUGGGGCUUAACUCCGGGCCUGCAGCUGAUACGGGCAGACUAGAGUUCGGCAGGGGAGACUGGAAUUCCUGGUGUAGCGGUGAAAUGCGCAGAUAUCAGGAGGAACACCGAUGGCGAAGGCAGGUCUCUGGGCAUUAACUGACGCUGAGGAGCGAAAGCAUGGGGGAGCGAACAGG
RNAcentral lists this ribosomal RNA (254 nucleotides) under uncultured bacterium. Its description in RNAcentral is "partial 16S ribosomal RNA". It matches the Rfam family "Bacterial small subunit ribosomal RNA", at positions 524 to 776 of the family's 1533-position model. The record is from RNAcentral.